Molecule: ribosomal RNA, 432 nt
Filed under: Calcinus seurati
Lineage: Eukaryota; Metazoa; Arthropoda; Malacostraca; Decapoda; Diogenidae
Description: partial 16S ribosomal RNA
Rfam family: Archaeal large subunit ribosomal RNA
Source: RNAcentral
UGAAUUCUUAAAGGGCCGCGGUAUUUCUGACCGUGCGAAGGUAGCAUAAUCAUUAGUCUUUUAAUUUGAGGCUCGUAUGAAUGGUCGGACGAGGGAUAAACUGUUUCCAGAUAAAAAUCUCGAAUUUAACUUUUGAGUGAAAAGGCUCAAAUGUUUCAAAAAGACGAUAAGACCCUAUAAAUCUUGACAUUAAGUUUUGUGUUAUUCUAGUUUAUUAGUGCAAAGAAACUCAUAAUAAAAAUGUUGUGUUGGGGCAACAAAGAUAUAACAAAAAUAACUGUCUUACCUUUUAAACAAAAAUCAUUGAACAAAUACAAUAGAUCCUUCUUAAAGAUUUAAAGAUUAAGUUACUUUAGGGAUAACAGCGUCAUUCUUUUUGAGAGUCCCCAUCGAAAAAAGAGUUUGCGACCUCGAUGUUGAAUUAGAAGAUCU